Aegilops tauschii subsp. strangulata is the source of this 954-nucleotide long non-coding RNA. RefSeq lists it as uncharacterized. The record is from RefSeq and is a predicted model, not a curated record. NCBI's taxonomy places the organism in Eukaryota, Viridiplantae, Streptophyta, Magnoliopsida, Poales, Poaceae.
CAGCCGCGUCAACGAGGUCGAGGAGUCCCUGACCCAGCCCUUGCCCUCACCUUCAUCGGAUGCCUCACCCGUCUCCAUGGGGUCGGGUACUCUUUCCCUCCCCUACCCUGCCCUCCCCUAGCGGUGGCUGACACACUGUUCUCGUCUAUCUCCCGGGGAUGCCCUGCCCUCCCCUGGCGUGCUGGGGACUGAUGACCGUGGGGAAUUUGAUCUUGUGGCGCCCGUCGAACGUCGAGAGGUUUAUGUGGAUGGAACUACCACCAUAUCUACCCAGCGUUUUGGUUUGGUCUUGUGAUGCUGCCGCACAUUGUCUUUCAUGUUCCUACUAUUUGCCUUUUAGUUUUGACUUGUGAUCCCGACGCACAUUUUCUUUCUACAACUGUGAUAUUUCCCUCCUUCAUUGAUGAAUGCAACUGCAUGAAUGGGACAGCGAAGCCGCUGUCAUGAAAAUUGCAGAAUGAUGACAGAGAUACAAAGGCGUGAAAUAAAAGGCAAAUGUGAAGCUCUUGCAUCAAUCCUCAGACUGCUUCCUGCAAAAUUUCCCGCAUAACUACAACAUGGUAGUCUUGAAAGAUUGGCUACUUAAUAGUAUGGAGAGGACAAGAUCGAAAAGGAUGGUGAUAUAAGGAAAGCGGGGAGUGGAAGAGGAAGAAAGUUGGGAUGACAAUUAUAAAUAGAAUAUCGAGUUUGAUGAUGAUGACGAUGAUUGGAACCAAGAGGAGGAACCAAGUAAGUUUCAUUUGAUUUUCUGUUCAUAUGGCGGCUACUGUGACCAGAUAUGUAAAGUCUGGAUUGGUUUACUUACUUUCUUGUAUGUUCUAUACUUAUAGUUUUUCAGUACUUGCUUCUUGUUGCCUCUCAGUGUAUCAUUAAAUAAUCAGUUGACCAGUGUUGACAAUGGUGCAUCGAUCCUAUUUAGUUCUGGUUCUGUAUGCCUCCCCAGCUACAGCUUAU